Molecule: long non-coding RNA, 249 nt
Organism: Tyto alba (common barn owl)
Lineage: Eukaryota; Metazoa; Chordata; Aves; Strigiformes; Tytonidae
Exons: 3
Source: RefSeq, a predicted model, not a curated record
GGGGUAGAGUGAAUUUCGGCUCACGCUUUUUACCGUUGUAAUCUCUGGUGACAGCAGCGGCACGGGCGCUCGUUUAAAUACCGUUAGUAUUCAGAUCUGUCGCAAUGAUGUCAUAUGAAUAACAGCUUUGCAGCAGAUCUGCAAGAUCACAUCAGAACAGACCUUGCAUCUGCCAAAAGCAUGCUGAAUUCGCUUCGCUGAAUGGCAGGAACUGAGUCAAGAGAAAGAGCUCAAGCUGUAAGUCCAAAA